This is a long non-coding RNA of Lontra canadensis (Northern American river otter), 344 nucleotides long. RefSeq lists it as uncharacterized. The record is from RefSeq and is a predicted model, not a curated record. The transcript has 3 exons. NCBI's taxonomy places the organism in Eukaryota, Metazoa, Chordata, Mammalia, Carnivora, Mustelidae.
CCCGGGACCCGCUCGAGCGGCCGCUGCCCCAGCACGUCACCCCCUCCUCCCCAGCCCGGUACGGACCCGGACGCGGUCGCGCACCGCUACCUGCAGCUAGGUGCAGUACUCCUUUGGUGAGGAACUCCUACCUCCCAAUGUCCUGGACCUUCCUACUGGUGGAGGAGCAAAGAGGAUACUCACAGACUCUUCCUCUCAGCCCUGCAGUGUUUGAACAUCUGUUAGAAGCCAGCCCUCUGCAGGGUCUUUGAGGGGAUGAAAUACCAGCCUCCGAGCACCAGAUGCCUAUUAGUCUUUGUCGAUGAGCAAGAAGAAUAGAGAGUCCAUGGCGUUCACUUUGUUUG